UACGUAGGGUGCAAGCGUUAAUCGGAAUUACUGGGCGUAAAGCGUGCGCAGGCGGUUUUGUAAGUCUGUCGUGAAAUCCCCGGGCUCAACCUGGGAAUUGCGAUGGAGACUGCAAGGCUAGAAUCUGGCAGAGGGGGGUAGAAUUCCACGUGUGAGCAGUGAAAAUGGCGUAGAGAUGUGGAGGAACACCGAUGGCGAAGGCAGCCCCCUGGGUCA
This 216-nucleotide ribosomal RNA is filed under the name uncultured bacterium. RNAcentral describes it as "partial 16S ribosomal RNA". It matches the Rfam family "Bacterial small subunit ribosomal RNA", at positions 524 to 736 of the family's 1533-position model. The record is from RNAcentral.